UUUGGAGGGCAAAGUCUGGUGCCAGCAGCCGCGGUAAUUCCAGCUCCAAUAGCGUAUAUUAAAGUUGUUGCAGUUAAAAAGCUCGUAGUUGAAUUUCGGGAUCGACGGGUCGGUCGCGCCUCUGGUAUGUACUGGUCCUGUCGGUUCCUCCCUUCUGACGAACUGCGAUGUCAUUAAUUUGGUGUCGCGGGGAAUCAGGACUGUUACUUUGAAAAA
RNAcentral lists this ribosomal RNA (216 nucleotides) under Glomeraceae sp. RNAcentral describes it as "partial small subunit ribosomal RNA". It matches the Rfam family "Eukaryotic small subunit ribosomal RNA", at positions 547 to 764 of the family's 1831-position model. The record is from RNAcentral. Lineage: Eukaryota; Fungi; Glomeromycota; Glomeromycetes; Glomerales; Glomeraceae.